GGGAAGGUGGCUCAGUGGUAGAGCGCUUGCCUUGCAUGCAUGUGCAUGAGGCCUUGGGUUCGAUUCCUCAGUACCA
Non-coding RNA from Dipodomys ordii (Ord's kangaroo rat), 76 nucleotides. The record is from Rfam. NCBI's taxonomy places the organism in Eukaryota, Metazoa, Chordata, Mammalia, Rodentia, Heteromyidae.